UACGUAGGGUGCAAGCGUUGUCCGGAAUUAUUGGGCGUAAAGAGCUCGUAGGCGGUCUGUCGCGUCGAAUGUGAAAACCCGGGGCUCAACCCCGGGCCUGCAUUCGAUACGGGCAGACUAGAGUUCGGUAGGGGAGCCUGGAAUUCCUGGUGUAGCGGUGAAAUGCGCAGAUAUCAGGAGGAACACCGAUGGCGAAGGCGGGUCUCUGGCCGUAACUGACGCUGAGGAGCGAAAGCGUGGGGAGCGAACAGGA
RNAcentral lists this ribosomal RNA (253 nucleotides) under uncultured bacterium. Its description in RNAcentral is "partial 16S ribosomal RNA". It matches the Rfam family "Bacterial small subunit ribosomal RNA", at positions 524 to 777 of the family's 1533-position model. The record is from RNAcentral.